GUUUUAAUAGUUUAAAGAAAAACGUUGGUCUUGUAAAUCAAUAAUGAGGGUUCCUCUUAAAACU
RNAcentral lists this transfer RNA (64 nucleotides) under Paegniodes cupulatus. RNAcentral's name for it is "tRNA-Thr". It matches the Rfam family "tRNA". From Rfam's summary of the family: Transfer RNA (tRNA) molecules are approximately 80 nucleotides in length. Their secondary structure includes four short double-helical elements and three loops (D, anti-codon, and T loops). Further hydrogen bonds mediate the characteristic L-shaped molecular structure. tRNAs have two regions of fundamental functional importance: the anti-codon, which is responsible for specific mRNA codon recognition, and the 3' end, to which the tRNAs corresponding amino acid is attached (by aminoacyl-tRNA synthetases). tRNAs cope with the degeneracy of the genetic code in two manners: having more than one tRNA (with a specific anti-codon) for a particular amino acid; and 'wobble' base-pairing, i.e. permitting non-standard base-pairing at the 3rd anti-codon position. The record is from RNAcentral. Lineage: Eukaryota; Metazoa; Arthropoda; Insecta; Ephemeroptera; Heptageniidae.